GCUUAAUUUGACUCAACGCGGGAAAUCUUACCGGGUCCGGACACACUGAGGAUUGACAGGUAACGUUAUACACACAUAUAUUUACUCUCGCGGGUAUUUGUACUGCUGUGUAUAUAUAAAAUAUGCUAGUCCUUUCAUGAUUAUGUGAUAGGUGGUGCAUGGCCGUUCUUAGUUCGUGGAGUGAUCUGUCUGCUUAAUUGCGUUUCACUAAGGAUCUAUAUUCAUAUUACGCAUAGCAUUUUGACCCCUUUAUGCUUCGGUAUAAAGCUGCGCGUCAAACCUUGCUAUCUGCGUAUAUUAGAUCCUGAAAGCAACGAACGUGACCGCAACCUCUUGUUGCCUUUAACUAGGUUUUGCUUACGUAUAGCUUCGGCUUUACGCUUUGCAUCUAAAAAGGCUGAUUUUCUAAACUAGAGGGACCGCUGUUACUUUCUUAAACCAGAGGAAGGUUGCGGCAAUAACAGGUCUGUGA
RNAcentral lists this ribosomal RNA (472 nucleotides) under Nonionella sp. T1. Its description in RNAcentral is "SSU rRNA". It matches the Rfam family "Eukaryotic small subunit ribosomal RNA", at positions 1188 to 1467 of the family's 1831-position model. The record is from RNAcentral. Lineage: Eukaryota; Foraminifera; Rotaliida; Nonionidae.